This 459-nucleotide ribosomal RNA is filed under the name uncultured bacterium. Its description in RNAcentral is "bacterial SSU rRNA". It matches the Rfam family "Bacterial small subunit ribosomal RNA", at positions 338 to 798 of the family's 1533-position model. The record is from RNAcentral.
UCUACGGGAGGCAGCAGUGGGGAAUAUUGCACAAUGGGCGCAAGCCUGAUGCAGCGACGCCGCGUGAGGGAUGACGGCCUUCGGGCUGUAAACCUCUUUCAGUAGGGAACAAGGCUACACGUUGUGUGGUUGAGGGUUCUUGCAGAAGAAGCGCCGGCUAACUACGUGCCAGCAGCCGCGGUAAUACGUAGGGCGCAAGCGUUAUCCGGAAUUAUUGGGCGUAAAGAGCUCGUAGGCGGUUUGUCGCGUCUGCCGUGAAAGUCCGGGGCUCAACCCCGGAUCUGCGGUGGGUACGGGCAGACUAGAGUGAUGUAGGGGAGACUGGAAUUCCUGGUGUAGCGGUGAAAUGCGCAGAUAUCAGGAGGAACACCGAUGGCGAAGGCAGGUCUCUGGGCAUUAACUGACGCUGAGGAGCGAAAGCAUGGGGAGCGAACAGGAUUAGAUACCCUGGUAGUCCAU